GACGAACCGUGCGAACGUUAAUCGGAUUCAUUGGGCUUAAAGGGCGCGUAGGCGGCGGCGUAAGUUCGUGGUGAAAUCCCAUCGGCUCAACCGUGGAAUUGCUUCGAAUACUGCGUCGCUCGAGGGAGAUAGGGGACCGCAGAACUGCCGGUGGAGCGGUGAAAUGUGUUGAUAUCGGCGGGAAUGCCAUUGCCGAAAGGGGCGGUCUGGACCUCUUCUGACGCUGAGGCGCGAAAGCUAGGGGAGCGAACGGG
This 254-nucleotide ribosomal RNA is filed under the name uncultured bacterium. RNAcentral's name for it is "partial 16S ribosomal RNA". It matches the Rfam family "Bacterial small subunit ribosomal RNA", at positions 524 to 776 of the family's 1533-position model. The record is from RNAcentral.